CCCCCCCCCCCACCCCCACACACACACACACAAACACACACACACUUUUUAACGUAUUCUUCUUACAUAGAAUCCUGUGGUGCCGGUGUAUCAUUACAAGCAGUCCGUGUUGAAUUGAAAUUCUGUAUGAAAUCAUUCUCUCAUCCGACCACAAACACGUCGAUAAUUCCAUCACGUCUCUCGUCUGGAAUCUGAUAUUGUGUUAAAUGUGAACACACACUGGUGUAAACACACUGAACGUGACUGCGAGCUUACAAACCAAAUCUCAAGCCAUUAGAAUUCAUCGAUCUUUAUAAGAGUCAGGGAAGGUGAGCAGUCUGAACCCGAGUCGCUCUGAACUCUGAAGAACUGAUCUACAAAAGGUUUGCGUUUGAUAAAAAAAAUGAAUAAAAAUGAUCGAAACAGUCUCCAAGCUGAAUUAUUAACAAGCGCUACAGAGGAUUGAGUCUCGAAUAUAAUAAAAGUUCUUGCCCGAUUAUGUAUAAUUUGGGGUGUUUCGAUCUAAAAGUGUAAAAUAGUGGGUGGAGUCGAUGCGAAAUCAUGUGUGUAAAGUAAAAUAAUAUGACUGAAGGGCAGGUAUUAAAUUUGUAGAAGCUUAUUUACACCACUCAAAAUAAAACUAAUCUUUAAUAAGUUCUUAAAAUGAUGUCAUAGUGAUUUCUUGUAAUUAGGAAUGAUUAAUUAGUAUUACAGCACAAUGAAUUAUGGGUUAAUAUUUGCCACGUGUUCAGACCUCUGAUACCAACAGCAUGCAGUUGACCUCAUGUAAACCAGACACACACUACACAUGUCUACACACUCAUUUUAUCUUCUUACUUUAUUAUAAAUGAUAAAAAACCCUGUUGAAUUAAACAACAGAAACCAUAAUAGAAUUUGUAAUGGUCUUAAUGGUUAUAAUUGGAAUUGUAUUAGUUUUAAUGGACACUAUAAUGGUCCAUGUCAGUCUCUACUGGUAAGUUGUUGCCUUUUAUUGCUUCCGUGUUUUGUCUAGUGGAUAUCAUUAAGAGGACCAAUAAUGGUAAUAGUAAUGGAUUUAAUGAUUAGCUGAUGGUUUGUAAUGGUAUUUAUAGUGGAAACCAUUCAAAUUUCUGUGAUGGUUUCUGUUGUUUUUUUUUCAGUAGGGAAAGUUAAAGAAGGAAGUAAAGAAAAAUACUCAAAUACAGUAAAUAAUGUAUGAGGCAGUAACAAAAUAAUCAAACUAAGCAUCUCUGCAAGAUCUAAACUCGUCACAGCUCUCAAGAACAGUUAACACUCGCAAAACCCUCAUUUACAUAAUCGCUCCUUUUCCAAUUUUGCAUACGACAUCAUUUACAUAAUUAUUAUAGACAGUUUAUCAGAACUUACGUAAAUCCGCGCUCUUUAUUUGGAAUUUAGCACGUUUCUAACAGUUUAAUUGCUGAUUUGAAUCCACGGAUGGAUAGACAGACAGAUAGACGGCCAUCUGUUGCUCGUUAGUCACAUCUCGGAUGGAGUGUGUAAAUUGGGAAGGUGGUGUGAUGGAGUGUGAUGGAGUGUGUGUGUGUGUGUGUGUGUGUGUCAGGUGCAGCGUUACCUGUCUGUGUGAUUUUGCACAGCCGAGUGUGUGACGGCUGCCGUGAACGGAAAGUGACUGUUAGUCAAAAGAGCUGCAGUGACAGCAGGCCACAGAUGAGUCCUGCUUGAAUAUUUAUGGACUUCAGCACAACAUGCCACAGCGCAGGGCUGCAGUGAGGAAAACCAGUCACGACGAGCGAGAUUUUUGCACCGAAUUUCUCCAUGACGCUCCGGCAGUAACAGAGUAAAUAAACAGCCCCUGAUUUCAGCAGCCAUUUCGCUGUUGGUGUUAGUGGAAAUCAAGCAACCUGCGUCAUUAUUCUGUUUCUCCAGCUUAUGAAUACAGAGUUUAUUUUUCUCAAAAUGCUAAUGUAGCUGAACGGUAACAGAGACGUGUAGCUAAUAUCAUGGAAACUGCUUGGUAUGGCUAAUAAUCAAUUAAAAAAAAUAAUAGAAUAAGUCUUUGUUACAAAUAAACAAAUAAACAAAUGGACAAAUGAAUCCUAAACUAUUAAUGAGGAGGGAGUAUUCAAAAUACAAUAAAUGAUGAACGAGUAAUAACACUCAAAACAAAUAAACUCACAAUAAGAGAUAAACUAGAGAUAAAAGUAACAGCAAUACUUACAAAUAAACCAUAAAGCAAGUACUAGUAACAAAAUGACUUAUGAUAAACUAUACAUGCUCACACUAAAUACACACGCUAAAUGAUGUUUGAACUGAAAAUGAUGAAAAUACUCAUGAAAAACAGUGAACUAGGUACGGCACUUUAUUGUCAGUGUAUACAAUACAACAACAUUUAGUUUGGCAACUCAGACAACUACAAGAGCAUUUAAACAUAAAACGCUGAAAGGAAUUCCUCGUUCCGUUAAAUACUCAUAAUAUUAAAUACCGACAUUAAAUACUCACAAUAUUAAAUACUCACACUAUUAAAUACUCAAUAUUAAAUACCGACAUUAAAUACUCACAAUAUUAAAUACUCACAAUAUUAAAUACUCACAAUAUUAAAUACUCACAAUAUUAAAUACCAACGUUGAAUACUCACAAUAUUAAAUACUCACAAUAUUAAAUACUCACAAUAUUAAAUACCGACGUUGAAUACUCACAAUAUUAAAUACUCACAAUAUUAAAUACCGACGCUAAAUACUCACAAUAUUAAACACUGAUGCUAAAUACUCACAAUAUUAAACACUGAUGCUAAAUACUCACACUAUUAAACACAGACGCUAAAUACUCACACUAUUAAAUACUGAUGCUAAAUACUCACACUAUUAAACACCAAUGGUAAAUACUCACAAUAUUAAAUACCGACGCUAAAUACUCACACUAUUAAAUACCGACUCUAAAUACGCACAAUAUUAAAUACCGACUCUAAAUACGCACAAUAUUAAAUACCGACGCUAAAUACUCUCAACAUUAAAUACCAACUCUAAAUACUCACAAUAUUAAAUACCGACGCUAAAUACUCACACUAUUAAAUACAGACACUAAAUACUCACAAUAUUAAAUACUGACUCUAAAUACGCACAAUAUUAAAUACUCACACUAUUAAAUAACAACAAUAAAUACUCACACUAUUAAAUAAUGACAAUAAAUACUCCAACUAUUAAAUACCAACGCUAAAUACUCACAAUAUUAAAUACUCACAAUAUUAAAUACUCAUACUAUUAAAUACCGAUGCUAAAGACUCACAAUAUUAAAUACUCACAAUAUUAAAUACUCACAAUAUUAAAUACUCACACUAUUAAAUACCAAAGCUAAAUACUCACACUAUGAAAUACCGAUGCCAAAUACUCAAAUAUUAAAUACUGAUGCUAAAUACUCACAAUAUUAAAUACAGACGCUAAAUACUCACACUAUUAAAUACCGACAUUAAAUACUCACAAUAUAAAAUACUGAUGUUAAAUACUCACAUUAUUAAACACUAAUGCUAAAUACUCACACUAUUAAAUACAGAUGCUAAAUACUCACACUAUUAAAUACAGAUGCUGAAUACUCACACAAGCAAAUACCGAUGAUAAAUACUCACAAUAUUAAACACUAAUGCUAAAUACUCACACUAUUAAUACCGACGCUAAAUACUUACACUAAUAAAUACAGAUUCUAAAUACACACAAUAUUAAACACAGACGCUAAAUACUCACACUAUUAAAUACCGACUCAAAAUACUCACACUAUUAAAUACCGAUACUAAAUUCUCACAAUAUUAAAUACCAAUGCUAAAUACUCACAAUAUUAAAU
This is a long non-coding RNA of Ictalurus punctatus (channel catfish), 3771 nucleotides long. NCBI's taxonomy places the organism in Eukaryota, Metazoa, Chordata, Actinopteri, Siluriformes, Ictaluridae. The record is from Ensembl.